GCAUUGAAUUGAAGUCCUAGUAAACGGCGGCUGUAACUCUAACGGUCCAAAGGUAGCGAAAUUCCUUGUCAGGUAAGUUCUGACCUGCAUGAAUGGUGUAAUGACUUCUCCGCUGUCUCCAAUAUGAGCUCAAUGAAAUUGAAUUGUCCGUGAAGAUGCGGACGACUUACAAUCAGACGGAAAGACCCUAUGAAUCUUUACUACAUUUUUAUAUUGC
This 217-nucleotide ribosomal RNA is filed under the name Schmidingerella taraikaensis. RNAcentral describes it as "partial Bacterial large subunit ribosomal RNA". It matches the Rfam family "Bacterial large subunit ribosomal RNA", at positions 1904 to 2120 of the family's 2925-position model. The record is from RNAcentral. Lineage: Eukaryota; Ciliophora; Spirotrichea; Tintinnida; Rhabdonellidae.